RNAcentral lists this transfer RNA (71 nucleotides) under Loxodonta africana (African savanna elephant). It matches the Rfam family "tRNA". Rfam says of the family: Transfer RNA (tRNA) molecules are approximately 80 nucleotides in length. Their secondary structure includes four short double-helical elements and three loops (D, anti-codon, and T loops). Lineage: Eukaryota; Metazoa; Chordata; Mammalia; Proboscidea; Elephantidae. The record is from Rfam by way of RNAcentral.
GCAGUGGUGGUUCAGUGGUAGAAUUCUCACCUUCGGUGCGGGAGACCAGGGUUCGAGUCCUGGCCAAUGCA